Molecule: long non-coding RNA, 593 nt
Organism: Camellia sinensis
Lineage: Eukaryota; Viridiplantae; Streptophyta; Magnoliopsida; Ericales; Theaceae
Source: RefSeq, a predicted model, not a curated record
GAGAGUCCACUUUAUUUUGUAGAGGGUUCCCUCCCAACUUUUACCAGUAACUUUUGCUUUGUUCAUAAUCACACUUGUCCUCCACCACCACCGCUGACCGGUUUAAAUACACCACAUUCCUCAGACCCCUCCUCCCCCACAUCACAUUCCCACUUGAAGAAGAUCUCAGAAAAAUGAGAGACAAAGUCAGAGAAAUGGGCAAGUUCCCAUCCCAUCUCAUUGCCAGAGCCAGACCCCAUAAACAUGAAGUUUCACCUCUGUCACCCACAUUGUGCAAGUUUUGCUGAAGUACUGAAAAUGGAGGCCUUAGCUGCUGACUUCUUGUUGUUCCACAUUCCUCAAGCAACCUUUCUCCACGCGUGCAGUUUUCUGUGAGAUCAGAGAUAUGGGUCCUCCUAAAUCAUGACAACUAAGAGUUAUUUUUGUAACAUUUCAACUUGUUGGCAUUCACUUGGAAAUGAAGGCUAGCUACAUCAAUUGUACCUCAACUUCUUCAGAGGUGUAGCAUUUUCUGAUAUUCCAGCUGUGCUCGACCCAUUUGGAAAGAUGACCCUUUUGUUGUUUGGAUUGAUGUAUGAAGUAUUGUUCUCUUU